This 301-nucleotide ribosomal RNA is filed under the name uncultured bacterium. RNAcentral's name for it is "partial 16S ribosomal RNA". It matches the Rfam family "Bacterial small subunit ribosomal RNA", at positions 509 to 807 of the family's 1533-position model. The record is from RNAcentral.
CAGUCGCCGCGGUAAUACGGAGGGUGCAAGCGUUAAUCGGAAUUACUGGGCGUAAAGCGUGCGUAGGCGGUUCGUUAAGUCUGUUGUGAAAGCCCCGGGCUCAACCUGGGAAUGGCAAUGGAUACUGGCGAGCUAGAGUGUGUCAGAGGAUGGUGGAAUUCCCGGUGUAGCGGUGAAAUGCGUAGAGAUCGGGAGGAACAUCAGUGGCGAAGGCGGCCAUCUGGGACAACACUGACGCUGAGGCACGAAAGCGUGGGAAGCAAACAGGAUUAGAUACCCCUGUAGUCCCUGUCUCUUAUAC